ACUCAAAUGAAUUGACGGGGGCCCGCACAAGCGGUGGAGCAUGUGGUUCAAUUCGACGCAACGCGAAGAACCUUACCUGGGCUCGAACGGCCGACGCAACCCGGUGGAAACAUCGGGGUUCCCGCAAGGGACGGCGGUCGAGGUGCUGCAUGGCUGUCGUCAGCUCGUGUCGUGAGAUGUUGGGUUAAGUCCCGCAACGAGCGCAACCCUUGUCCUGUGUUGGCAUGCCCGCAAGGGCGCAACUCGCAGGAGACCGCCAGCGAUAAGCUGGAGGAAGGUGGGGAUGACGUCAAGUCCUCAUGGCCUUUAUGUCCAGGGCUACACACGUGCUACAAUGGCCGGUACAAAGGGAUGCCAACCCGCGAGGGGGAGCCAAUCCCAAAAAGCCGGUCUCAGUUCGGAUUGCAGGCUGCAACUCGCCUGCAUGAAGCUGGAAUCGCUAGUAAUGCCAUAUCAGAACGAUGGCGUGAAUACGUUCCCGGGCCUUGUACACACCGCCCGU
This 502-nucleotide ribosomal RNA is filed under the name uncultured bacterium. Its description in RNAcentral is "partial 16S ribosomal RNA". It matches the Rfam family "Bacterial small subunit ribosomal RNA", at positions 899 to 1397 of the family's 1533-position model. The record is from RNAcentral.